This 748-nucleotide unclassified non-coding RNA is filed under the name Drosophila pseudoobscura pseudoobscura. RNAcentral's name for it is "GA31048". The record is from RNAcentral. Lineage: Eukaryota; Metazoa; Arthropoda; Insecta; Diptera; Drosophilidae.
GGUUAGUGGAUUCGGGGUGAAGGUUAACGAGGAGGAUGUGAUAAGAAAACGAACGAUUCGAUCGAAUCCGGAUCCCCCCCUUGGAAACAGUCAGCCACUUACUGCCAAAUGCAGUUGGCAACGGCAACGGCAACGGCAACGGAGUGGCAAAGCAGACGAAAGCGGAACGGAACGAAUCGGAUUCCCCUCUUAUCAUCGUUAUCAGAGGGCAGCGUAGUCGAAUGGUCAAUGGUCUGCUUGGACAGUAAUAUCGAUACUGCGCGACUGGCGGACGGUCGAGUGCACACGCGCCCGGCCAUACUACGGAGCGGCACGAUCAGGCCACUCAUUUUCCUACUCCCCCCCACUUCACCACCCAGCAGGUAUCAUACCUAGUCGUAGGUAGAUAUGACAGCUACUACGUUCCGUUCCUACAGCACUGCCGGGAACACACACACUUGAGCUUUAGCACGCCAUGGCUUAUUCAGCAAUUGAUCACUUUGGAUAAUCGUGGGGUUCAGUCCUCCAAAAAAAUAAGAUCAUCCAUUUCCAGGGUAUUCAAAAUGUUGCUGAAUCCGCACCACGUUGAGGAAGAAUGCUGCUCGAUUUCACGGCACAUGAGUCUGGUCCAUACAAAUUGAAUGUUGCCAGCAGCAUAACACGUAAGAAAACGUAAGUGAGGAUGGAAUGUAAGGGACAUUGUUGAGGGGAAAAAGGACAUUGUGGCGAGGAAAAAUCCCAGAGAAAAUCCCAAAAAAGUCCCACCAAA